Molecule: non-coding RNA, 92 nt
Organism: Mycena belliarum
Lineage: Eukaryota; Fungi; Basidiomycota; Agaricomycetes; Agaricales; Mycenaceae
Source: the annotation of a GenBank genome assembly
UCCGAUAUGGUGUAGCGGUAACAUUACCGCCUCUCAUAGUGAGUGCAUGUUGGGUUGCGCGGUAGCCCGGGGUUCGACCCCCCGUGUCGGAA